This is a non-coding RNA of Stegodyphus mimosarum, 73 nucleotides long. The record is from Rfam. NCBI's taxonomy places the organism in Eukaryota, Metazoa, Arthropoda, Arachnida, Araneae, Eresidae.
GCCUUUGUGGUGUAAUGGUCAGCACGCUAGGCCCGUAUUCGAAAGGUCCGUGGUUCGAACCCCGGCGAGGGCA